This 253-nucleotide ribosomal RNA is filed under the name uncultured bacterium. RNAcentral describes it as "partial 16S ribosomal RNA". It matches the Rfam family "Bacterial small subunit ribosomal RNA", at positions 524 to 776 of the family's 1533-position model. The record is from RNAcentral.
UACGUAGGUGGCAAGCGUUAUCCGGAUUUAUUGGGCGUAAAGGGAACGCAGGCGGUCUUUUAAGUCUGAUGUGAAAGCCUUCAGCUUAACCGGAGUAGUGCAUUGGAAACUGGGAGACUUGAGUGCAGAAGAGGAGAGUGGAACUCCAUGUGUAGCGGUGAAAUGCGUAGAUAUAUGGAAGAACACCAGUGGCGAAAGCGGCUCUCUGGUCUGUAACUGACGCUGAGGUUCGAAAGCGUGGGUGGCAAACAGG